RNAcentral lists this ribosomal RNA (408 nucleotides) under uncultured bacterium. Its description in RNAcentral is "bacterial SSU rRNA". It matches the Rfam family "Bacterial small subunit ribosomal RNA", at positions 509 to 916 of the family's 1533-position model. The record is from RNAcentral.
CAGCCGCCGCGGUAAUACGUAGGGUGCAAGCGUUAAUCGGAAUUACUGGGCGUAAAGCGUACGCAGGCGGCUUUGCAAGACAGGUGUGAAAUCCCCGGGCCUAACCUGGGAACUGCAUUUGUGACUGCAUGGCUAGAGUCUGUCAGAGGGGGGUGGAAUUCCACGUGUAGCAGUGAAAUGCGUAGAGAUGUGGAAGAACACCGAUGGCGAAGGCAGCCCCCUGGGAUGAGACUGACGCUCAUGUACGAAAGCGUGGGGAGCAAACAGGAUUAGAUACCCUGGUAGUCCACGCCGUAAACGAUGUCUGCUAGCCGUGGGGAUCCUUGAGGUCUCGGUGGCGCAGCUAACGCGAUAAGCAGACCGCCUGGGGAGUACGGCCGCAAGGUUAAAACUCAAAGGAAUUGACGG